GGACGUAUAGCUCAGCGGAAGAGCACUCGGUUUACACCCGAGCGGUCGGGGGUUCAAAUCCCUCUGCGUCCA
RNAcentral lists this transfer RNA (72 nucleotides) under Pseudonocardiaceae bacterium YIM PH 21723. It matches the Rfam family "tRNA". Rfam says of the family: Transfer RNA (tRNA) molecules are approximately 80 nucleotides in length. Their secondary structure includes four short double-helical elements and three loops (D, anti-codon, and T loops). Further hydrogen bonds mediate the characteristic L-shaped molecular structure. tRNAs have two regions of fundamental functional importance: the anti-codon, which is responsible for specific mRNA codon recognition, and the 3' end, to which the tRNAs corresponding amino acid is attached (by aminoacyl-tRNA synthetases). tRNAs cope with the degeneracy of the genetic code in two manners: having more than one tRNA (with a specific anti-codon) for a particular amino acid; and 'wobble' base-pairing, i.e. permitting non-standard base-pairing at the 3rd anti-codon position. The record is from Rfam by way of RNAcentral. Lineage: Bacteria; Bacillati; Actinomycetota; Actinomycetes; Pseudonocardiales; Pseudonocardiaceae.